RNAcentral lists this ribosomal RNA (155 nucleotides) under uncultured Ascomycota. RNAcentral describes it as "5.8S ribosomal RNA". It matches the Rfam family "5.8S ribosomal RNA". From Rfam's summary of the family: 5.8S ribosomal RNA (5.8S rRNA) is a component of the large subunit of the eukaryotic ribosome. It is transcribed by RNA polymerase I as part of the 45S precursor that also contains 18S and 28S rRNA. The record is from RNAcentral. Lineage: Eukaryota; Fungi; Ascomycota.
AAACUUUCAACAACGGAUCUCUUGGCUCUUGCAUCGAUGAAGAACGCAGCAAAGCGCGAAAUGUAGUGUGAAUUGCAGGACAUCGUGAAUCAUCGAAUCUUUGAACGCACAUUGCGCCUCCUGUUACAGGGAGGCAUGCCUGUCUGAGCGUCAUU